Molecule: long non-coding RNA, 425 nt
Organism: Raphanus sativus (radish)
Lineage: Eukaryota; Viridiplantae; Streptophyta; Magnoliopsida; Brassicales; Brassicaceae
Exons: 3
Source: RefSeq, a predicted model, not a curated record
UCUUCUAUAGACUCUACGCCAUUCGACGAGGCGGAAGAGACAAGAGAGCACCAGGAAUUUGGUUUCCCGGUGAAUAAAUCGGCUGUCUUGAUCUGUUACGGACGCGACGGUGAUUUGGGUUUGAUGCUCUCACAAAGAGCAUCUGCUUUCCUGUAGGAGGAAUAUUAUGGGACAAAAAAAAAGCAUUCAAUCCAACGCCAAAUCUUGCAGAAGUGGAAGCCGUGUUUGAUUCACCAUUCUGAAGUACACUGCUUGCUUUAUCUAGUUGGAAAUUAUCAAGAUGGGUGAUGCUGUGCAAAUCUGAAUCAUUUGACCUGAAACCCAAGGUAUGUUGCGGUGAUGUUGUCAUUUACAGCUGGAGAAAACAAGGAAAAUGAUUAGUGAAUUGCUGUCUUAAACGUGAUCUUUGAAAAUCUGAUACCAAA